This 437-nucleotide long non-coding RNA is filed under the name Olea europaea (common olive). RNAcentral describes it as "long non-coding RNA (OEUR_LNC014794)". Lineage: Eukaryota; Viridiplantae; Streptophyta; Magnoliopsida; Lamiales; Oleaceae. The record is from RNAcentral.
CCAUGGUAGAACUAGAUGUACCAGGUUGAGAGGAAUGUUGUGGUGGUGCUCCACGAUCGAGAGAUUGGUCGGAUAUGGAAGUAACUAGGAAAAAAUUGCCACUGCGCUAGCGAUUUUGGAUGGGAAUUGGUGCUGUUUCCAGCGGUGUGGUGGGUAGCCGAUGGUCAAAGGUUGUAGAGGGAGGUGAGAGGGUGCCGGUGGUGUGUGGGUCAGGCGACUUAGGUGGCGGGUGGUGGUUGUUAUUGAUGGAAGGAGGCGGCGAAUCGGUAGCUUGAGAAAGCUAAAUAUUUUUGGGGAAAAUGGAAGGAGGCGGGAGUGAGAGUAAGAGUUCAAGUCCAAUUUUUUAGGUCCAUACAAAAUUUUAGGUUGGAAUUGAAACUUUCGAAUUUUCCGACGGAAUUUUUUGUUUGUUACUAUAUAAUACUUUUAAAAUUCUG